AACGUAGGUGGCGAGCGUUAUCCGGAUUUACUGGGCGUAAAGGGUGUGCAGGCGGGCUGUUAAGUGGUGUAUGAAAUAUCCCGGCUCAACCGGGAAGGGUUAUGCCAGACUGGCAGUCUAGAGAGCGAGAGAGGGACGUGGAAUUCCGGGUGUAGUGGUGAAAUGCGUAGAGAUCCGGAGGAACCCCAGAGGCGAAGGCGGCGACCUGGGUCGAGACUGACGCUGAGGCGCGAAAGCGUGGGGAGCAAACAGG
RNAcentral lists this ribosomal RNA (253 nucleotides) under uncultured bacterium. RNAcentral's name for it is "partial 16S ribosomal RNA". It matches the Rfam family "Bacterial small subunit ribosomal RNA", at positions 524 to 776 of the family's 1533-position model. The record is from RNAcentral.